RNAcentral lists this ribosomal RNA (460 nucleotides) under uncultured bacterium. Its description in RNAcentral is "partial 16S ribosomal RNA". It matches the Rfam family "Bacterial small subunit ribosomal RNA", at positions 338 to 795 of the family's 1533-position model. The record is from RNAcentral.
CCUACGGGAGGCAGCAGUGAGGAAUAUUGGUCAAUGGGCGGGAGCCUGAACCAGCCAAGUCGCGUGAGGGAAGACGGUCCUAUGGAUCGUAAACCUCUUUUAUAAGGGAAUAAAGUGUGGGACGUGUCCUGUUUUGUAUGUACCUUAUGAAUAAGGAUCGGCUAACUCCGUGCCAGCAGCCGCGGUAAUACGGAGGAUCCGAGCGUUAUCCGGAUUUAUUGGGUUUAAAGGGUGCGUAGGCGGCCUUUUAAGUCAGCGGUGAAAGUCUGUGGCUCAACCAUAGAAUUGCCGUUGAAACUGGGAGGCUUGAGUAUGUUUGAGGCAGGCGGAAUGCGUGGUGUAGCGGUGAAAUGCUUAGAUAUCACGCAGAACCCCGAUUGCGAAGGCAGCCUGCCAAGCCAUGACUGACGCUGAUGCACGAAAGCGUGGGGAUCAAACAGGAUUAGAUACCCGAGUAGUC